CUCAAGAGGAAAAGGCUGAUGCCUUUGACUUUCCCUUCCCUUCAAGAAAUGUUGAAAAAGUAAUUAAACGAAAGAAGAAGAAGUCCAAAGUCUGGCUUAAAGUCUGGAAAGUAAUGUCAAAAAUGCUUGAAGAAAAUGAAAAGUUCAGACAUCGACUGUUGACUUGCAGUCAGUUCAGUGGAGAAGGCAAUGACGCGAACCAAAGUUCACAGAAGGGUUCCCCCUGGACAGGGAGCCCAUCUUUGGUUGGGUGUAGCAAGAAAAUAAAGGAAGAUUUAGGCCAAAAGGAAAUAUAAAACUACUGAAAUUGUUUUCAUCUAUAUCUUACUAAAAUUAGAGAGAAG
This 344-nucleotide long non-coding RNA is filed under the name Chrysolophus pictus (golden pheasant). RNAcentral's name for it is "lncRNA (ENSCPIG00010005291.1)". The record is from RNAcentral. Lineage: Eukaryota; Metazoa; Chordata; Aves; Galliformes; Phasianidae.